This 802-nucleotide ribosomal RNA is filed under the name uncultured bacterium. RNAcentral's name for it is "bacterial SSU rRNA". It matches the Rfam family "Bacterial small subunit ribosomal RNA", at positions 627 to 1429 of the family's 1533-position model. The record is from RNAcentral.
UGGAAACUNUCUGACUUGAGUGCAGAAGGGGAGAGUGGAAUUCCAUGUGUAGCGGUGAAAUGCGUAGAUAUAUGGAGGAACACCAGUGGCGAAAGCGGCUCUCUGGUCUGUCACUGACGCUGAGGCUCGAAAGCGUGGGUAGCGAACAGGAUUAGAUACCCUGGUAGUCCACGCCGUAAACGAUGAGUGCUAGGUGUUAGGCCCUUUCCGGGGCUUAGUGCCGGAGCUAACGCAAUAAGCACUCCGCCUGGGGAGUACGACCGCAAGGUUGAAACUCAAAGGAAUUGACGGGGGCCCGCACAAGCGGUGGAGCAUGUGGUUUAAUUCGAAGCAACGCGAAGAACCUUACCAGGUCUUGACAUCCCGAUGCUAUUCUUAGAGAUAGGAAGUUACUUCGGUACAUCGGAGACAGGUGGUGCAUGGUUGUCGUCAGCUCGUGUCGUGAGAUGUUGGGUUAAGUCCCGCAACGAGCGCAACCCUUAUUGUUAGUUGCCAUCAUUAAGUUGGGCACUCUAGCGAGACUGCCGGUAAUAAACCGGAGGAAGGUGGGGAUGACGUCAAAUCAUCAUGCCCCUUAUGACCUGGGCUACACACGUGCUACAAUGGUCGGUACAACGAGUUGCGAGCCGGUGACGGCAAGCUAAUCUCUGAAAGCCGAUCUCAGUUCGGAUUGGAGGCUGCAACUCGCCUCCAUGAAGUCGGAAUCGCUAGUAAUCGCGGAUCAGCACGCCGCGGUGAAUACGUUCCCGGGCCUUGUACACACCGCCCGUCACACCACGAGAGUUUGUAACACCCGAAGUCG